Molecule: non-coding RNA, 69 nt
Organism: Ictidomys tridecemlineatus (thirteen-lined ground squirrel)
Lineage: Eukaryota; Metazoa; Chordata; Mammalia; Rodentia; Sciuridae
Source: Rfam
GGGGUUGUAGCUCAGUGGUAGAGUGCUUGCCUAGCAUGUGUGAGGCACUGGGUUCGAUUCUCAGCACCA